Molecule: ribosomal RNA, 253 nt
Filed under: uncultured bacterium
Lineage: Bacteria
Description: partial 16S ribosomal RNA
Rfam family: Bacterial small subunit ribosomal RNA
Source: RNAcentral
AACGUAGGACGCGAACGUUAUCCGGAGUUACUGGGCGUAAAGCGCGAGUAGGCGGUUGAAUAAGUUACCUAUGAAAGCUCUCGGCUAAACUGAGAGAGGAUAGGUGAUACUGUUUGACUAGAGUGAGGAAGAGGAAAGUAGAAUUCCGGGUGUAGUGGUGAAAUGCGUAGAUAUCCGGAGGAAUACCAGUGGCGAAGGCGGCUUUCUGGUUCUCAACUGACGCUGAGACGCGAAAGCGUGGGUAGCGAACGGG